GGAGGGGGUUUAGCGUUGUCCGGAAUUACUGGGCGUAAAGCGCACGUAGGCGGACUGAUCAGUUAGAGGUGAAAUCCCGGGGCUCAACCCCGGAACUGCCUUUAAUACUGUCAGUCUAGAGAUCGAGAGAGGUGAGUGGAAUUCCAAGUGUAGAGGUGAAAUUCGUAGAUAUUUGGAGGAACACCAGUGGCGAAGGCGGCUCACUGGCUCGAUACUGACGCUGAGGUGCGAAAGCGUGGGGAGCAAACAGGGAUUAGAUACCCUGGUAGUCCACGCCGUAAACGAUGAGAGCUAGACGUCGGGCAGCAUGCUGUUCGGUGUCGCAGUUAACGCAUUAAGCUCUCCGCCUGGGGAGUACGGUCGCAAGAUUA
This 371-nucleotide ribosomal RNA is filed under the name uncultured organism. Its description in RNAcentral is "partial 16S ribosomal RNA". It matches the Rfam family "Bacterial small subunit ribosomal RNA", at positions 526 to 896 of the family's 1533-position model. The record is from RNAcentral.